UUGUUGAGAAUUAAUUCUCUUUUCCAAGGAUUGGACCCUGUUUUGCUCUUUGUUCCUCUUUUUCUACAUCAUUAUCUUCAGAUCUGCAAAUCAUAUUCAUCAGAGUGGAUCAUUCCACACAUUUCACUCAUUUUCCCUUGACAUUUCUGGCAUACAAUAACAAAUCUUCUAUCAGAAAAAUGCAAUAAAAUUCUUAAAUUGUUUUCCCCCAACUUUAUUCACCCCAAUCCUUGCCAUAAUUUUAGGAUAUCAAGAAUGAGAACAAGGUCCUUACAACUCAAGUUCACCCUACAGCUUAUUUAUUCACUUCUAGCACUUUCAGACAUUCAUCAUCAGCGAAAAAUUCUGAGUAAAAUAAAUCUCCUUUUAAACAUUUCAUGCAGAAAUUUAAAACUUGUAUGUACAGAAUCAUAAAGCUUAUAAUAAUGUUAAAUAAAACAAUAUCAAUAUAAAGAGAAGUUAGUGCAAUGCUACUCUAACAACAAAAACAACUGAGACUUAAUCUCAAAACAAAACCAUGUGUAAGACAACCAAG
Molecule: unclassified non-coding RNA, 535 nt
Filed under: Hevea brasiliensis (rubber tree)
Lineage: Eukaryota; Viridiplantae; Streptophyta; Magnoliopsida; Malpighiales; Euphorbiaceae
Source: RNAcentral